Molecule: transfer RNA, 75 nt
Filed under: Burkholderia multivorans
Lineage: Bacteria; Pseudomonadati; Pseudomonadota; Betaproteobacteria; Burkholderiales; Burkholderiaceae
Description: tRNA-Asn
Rfam family: tRNA
About the family: Transfer RNA (tRNA) molecules are approximately 80 nucleotides in length. Their secondary structure includes four short double-helical elements and three loops (D, anti-codon, and T loops).
Source: RNAcentral
UCCCCGAUAGCUCAGUCGGUAGAGCGCCGGACUGUUAAUCCGUAGGUCCCUGGUUCGAGCCCAGUCGGGGAGCCA